This 703-nucleotide ribosomal RNA is filed under the name uncultured fungus. RNAcentral describes it as "eukaryotic LSU rRNA". The stretch from base 243 to 396 matches the Rfam family "5.8S ribosomal RNA". Lineage: Eukaryota; Fungi. The record is from RNAcentral.
CUUGGUCAUUUAGAGGAAGUAAAAGUCGUAACAAGGUUUCCGUAGGUGAACCUGCGGAAGGAUCAUUCAUAAUCAAGUGUUUUUAUGGCACUUUAAAAAUCCAUAUCCACCUUGUGUGCAAUGUCAUCUCACUGGAAGGUCACGGCUGUAAAAAUCCGGCGGCCAACCUUUGGGAUUUAUAUCUACUCAGAACUUUAGUGAUUUUGUCUGAAACAUAUUAUGAAUAACUUAAUUCAAAAUACAACUUUCAACAACGGAUCUCUUGGCUCUCGCAUCGAUGAAGAACGCAGCGAAAUGCGAUACGUAAUGUGAAUUGCAGAAUUCAGUGAAUCAUCGAAUCUUUGAACGCAUAUUGCGCUCUCUGGUAUUCCGGAGAGCAUGCUUGUUUGAGUAUCAGUAAACACCUCAACUCCUUUUUCUUUUUUGAAAUUGGAGCUGGACUUGAGUGAUCCCAACGCUUUCUUCCAAGAAAGUGGCGGGUUGCUUGAAAUGCAGGUGCAGCUGAACUUUUCUCUGAGCUAUAAGCAUAUCUAUUUAGUCUGCCAAAACAGAUUAUUACCUUUGCUGCAGCUAACAUAAAGGAGACUAGUUCUUGUGCUGACUGAUGCAGGAUUCACAGAGACAGCUUCGGCUGACUUUGUAAACUCGAUCUCAAAUCAAGUAAGACUACCCGCUGAACUUAAGCAUAUCAAUAAGCGGAGGA